UGCCAGCCGCCGCGGUAAUACGGGGGGAGCAAGCGUUGUUCGGAAUUAUUGGGCGUAAAGGGCGUACAGGCGGUGAUGCAAGUCAGGUGUGAAAUACAUCGGCUCAACCGAUGUCCUGCAUCUGAAACUGCACCACUUGAGUACAGGAGAGGAAAGCGGAAUUUCACGUGUAGCGGUGGAAUGUGUAGAUAUGUGGAAGAACACCAGUGGCGAAGGCGGCUUUCUGGCCUGAUACUGACGCUGACGCGCGAAAGCUAGGGGAGCAAACAGGAUUAGAUA
Molecule: ribosomal RNA, 279 nt
Filed under: uncultured bacterium
Lineage: Bacteria
Description: partial 16S ribosomal RNA
Rfam family: Bacterial small subunit ribosomal RNA
Source: RNAcentral